RNAcentral lists this long non-coding RNA (371 nucleotides) under Cyanistes caeruleus (blue tit). RNAcentral describes it as "lncRNA (ENSCCEG00000012171.1)". Lineage: Eukaryota; Metazoa; Chordata; Aves; Passeriformes; Paridae. The record is from RNAcentral.
CCCAGAUUGGAGGAAACUGGAGGUGGGGAUGGACUUAGGGUUGCCCAAUCUGCAGUGGCCUCAGGUUGGAGCACCUGUGGGGUUUUUCCCUGGGUGGAAGAUGUGGCAUCUCUGCAGAGCCUGGAAAUUCACCCAUGUUGCAGGGGCUGUAUUGAAGCUGGUGAGACUGCUCACAGGAGAGAGAUUAAGUAUUCAUGCAAGCAUUUGCAAGGUUUUCAGACCUGGGACUAAGGUUCAACUGCUGGUGCUUUUCAAAGCCAACUAGAUGAAGGCGUGAUGCUACGCAAAAAGUGAAGGAAUUCCAUUGCCUUAUUCGCAUGUUUCUGAUGCCAGACACACCAAUAAACAGAAGAAAUGCUGGAUAAAGACCA